UGGGGAAUAUUGCACAAUGGGCGCAAGCCUGAUGCAGCCAUGCCGCGUGUGUGAAGAAGGCCUUCGGGUUGUAAAGCACUUUCAGCGAGGAGGAAGGUGGUGAACUUAAUACGUUCAUCAAUUGACGUUACUCGCAGAAGAAGCACCGGCUAACUCCGUGCCAGCAGCCGCGGUAAUACGGAGGGUGCAAGCGUUAAUCGGAAUUACUGGGCGUAAAGCGCACGCAGGCGGUUUGUUAAGUCAGAUGUGAAAUCCCCGGGCUCAACCUGGGAACUGCAUUUGAAACUGGCAAGCUAGAGUCUCGUAGAGGGGGGUAGAAUUCCAGGUGUAGCGGUGAAAUGCGUAGAGAUCUGGAGGAAUACCGGUGGCGAAGGCGGCCCCCUGGACGAAGACUGACGCUCAGGUGCGAAAGCGUGGGGGCAGCAAACAGGAUUAGAUACCCUGGUAGUCCACGCUGUAAACGAUGUCGAUUUUGGAGGUUGUGCCCCUUGAGGCGUGGCUUCCGGAGCUAACGCGUUAAAUCGACCGCCUGGGGAGUACGGCCGCAAGGUU
This 552-nucleotide ribosomal RNA is filed under the name uncultured bacterium. RNAcentral describes it as "partial 16S ribosomal RNA". It matches the Rfam family "Bacterial small subunit ribosomal RNA", at positions 355 to 895 of the family's 1533-position model. The record is from RNAcentral.